AACGGCCGCGGUAUCCUAACCGUGCAAAGGUAGCAUAAUCACUUGCCUAUUAAUUGUAGGCUAGAAUGAAUGGGUUAACGAAAUAAAGACUGUCUCAAUUAAUCACCUAAAAAUUACUAUCUAUUUGAAGAAGGGUAGAUAAUCUCGAAGGACAAGAAGACCCUAUAGAGCUUAAUUUUAAUUAUAGAAAUAUACUAUAAAAAUAUUCGGUUGGGGCGACCCAGGGCUAAUCAAUCACCCACUACAUAAAAGAUAGAUUAAUCAAGUAAUUGACCCCUAAAAGAUCAUAAGAACAAGCUACCUUAGGGAUAACAGGCUAAUCCCACUCAAGAGUCCUUAUCAACAGUGGGGUUUGGCACCUCGAUGUUGGCUUAGG
RNAcentral lists this ribosomal RNA (376 nucleotides) under Metaphire sieboldi (earthworm). RNAcentral's name for it is "partial 16S ribosomal RNA". It matches the Rfam family "Bacterial large subunit ribosomal RNA", at positions 1926 to 2541 of the family's 2925-position model. The record is from RNAcentral. Lineage: Eukaryota; Metazoa; Annelida; Clitellata; Crassiclitellata; Megascolecidae.